GAUGAACGCUGGCGGCGUGCUUAACACAUGCAAGUCGAACGGUGAAGGCGGAGCUUGCUCUGCUGGAUCAGUGGCGAACGGGUGAGUAACACGUGAGCAAUCUGCCCCUGACUCUGGGAUAAGCGCUGGAAACGGCGUCUAAUACUGGAUACGAGCUGCGAAGGCAUCUUCAGCAGCUGGAAAGAACUUCGGUCAGGGAUGAGCUCGCGGCCAUCAGCUUGUUGGUGAGGUAACGGCUCACCAAGGCGUCGACGGGUAGCCGGCCUGAGAGGGUGACCGGCCACACUGGGACUGAGACACGGCCCAGACUCCUACGGGAGGCAGCAGUGGGGAAUAUUGCACAAUGGGCGAAAGCCUGAUGCAGCAACGCCGCGUGAGGGACGACGGCCUUCGGGUUGUAAACCUCUUUUAGCAGGGAAGAAGCGAAAGUGACGGUACCUGCAGAAAAAGCGCCGGCUAACUACGUG
This 467-nucleotide ribosomal RNA is filed under the name uncultured bacterium. Its description in RNAcentral is "partial 16S ribosomal RNA". It matches the Rfam family "Bacterial small subunit ribosomal RNA", at positions 28 to 507 of the family's 1533-position model. The record is from RNAcentral.